Non-coding RNA from Caenorhabditis elegans, 21 nucleotides. The record is from Ensembl. NCBI's taxonomy places the organism in Eukaryota, Metazoa, Nematoda, Chromadorea, Rhabditida, Rhabditidae.
UCGAAAUCGAAAUUGCCCAUU